This 680-nucleotide ribosomal RNA is filed under the name Pseudoalteromonas shioyasakiensis. Its description in RNAcentral is "bacterial SSU rRNA". It matches the Rfam family "Bacterial small subunit ribosomal RNA", at positions 86 to 762 of the family's 1533-position model. The record is from RNAcentral. Lineage: Bacteria; Pseudomonadati; Pseudomonadota; Gammaproteobacteria; Alteromonadales; Pseudoalteromonadaceae.
UGGCGUCGAGCGGCGGACGGGUGAGUAAUGCUUGGGAAUAUGCCUUAUGGUGGGGGACAACAGUUGGAAACGACUGCUAAUACCGCAUGAUGUCUACGGACCAAAGUGGGGGACCUUCGGGCCUCACGCCAUAAGAUUAGCCCAAGUGGGAUUAGCUAGUUGGUGAGGUAAUGGCUCACCAAGGCGACGAUCCCUAGCUGGUUUGAGAGGAUGAUCAGCCACACUGGGACUGAGACACGGCCCAGACUCCUACGGGAGGCAGCAGUGGGGAAUAUUGCACAAUGGGCGCAAGCCUGAUGCAGCCAUGCCGCGUGUGUGAAGAAGGCCUUCGGGUUGUAAAGCACUUUCAGUAAGGAGGAAAGGUUAAGUGUUAAUAGCACUUAGCUGUGACGUUACUUACAGAAGAAGCACCGGCUAACUCCGUGCCAGCAGCCGCGGUAAUACGGAGGGUGCGAGCGUUAAUCGGAAUUACUGGGCGUAAAGCGUACGCAGGCGGUUUGUUAAGCGAGAUGUGAAAGCCCCGGGCUCAACCUGGGAACUGCAUUUCGAACUGGCAAACUAGAGUGUGAUAGAGGGUGGUAGAAUUUCAGGUGUAGCGGUGAAAUGCGUAGAGAUCUGAAGGAAUACCGAUGGCGAAGGCAGCCACCUGGGUCAACACUGACGCUCAUGUACGAAAGCGU